Molecule: long non-coding RNA, 757 nt
Organism: Panicum virgatum (switchgrass)
Lineage: Eukaryota; Viridiplantae; Streptophyta; Magnoliopsida; Poales; Poaceae
Exons: 3
Source: RefSeq, a predicted model, not a curated record
GUUUGGAAGCAGCCUUCCCCGCCGGGAUCCCCGCUAUUUCCCCGCGCCGGCAGCCCAUGCGGGAUUCUCCCACGCGGAGUUCAGCAAGCGCCUUUGGAAGCCGCGGAUUAGCGCCCGACCUGUAGACACCGGGGAGCACUCCCCGUCCUCUCGUCUCACAGUCUCGCUUCGCUCGACUCGCGGAGUUGAGUGGGAGAGUGCCGCCGCCUGCCAUGCUCCUCCGACGACCUCACGACGGCAGCGUCUCCUCCGCCGGCGUCUCUACAACGACCUCCUUGUUCGCAUCAGAGUGCUCAGCGGACGUGCGAUAUAAAAACUGAAGAAAAAUUAGAACACUUGGUGGAAGCAAGUGUGUCAACGCCAUAUGAAAGCAAUUCAUUUCUGUUGGGCUACAGUGUUUGGUGGUUUUCUUCAUGUUACUUGCAGAACACUUAAGUUCAGUAUUACCUAGCUAGUAAUCUAUCUCCACAGCAUCUUCUCCAUGAUUUUUACCUCCAACUGUGGACAAAACCAUAUGAAAGCACUUCAUCUCUUACAGUGCCUUGUGGUUGAUACAAUCUUUUGAUUGGUAGUUUGUAAUAUAGGAUUCGCAUGGUGUGAAUCAUUUUAGCCAUGUCUUAUCUGUAUGUUGGUGUUAGUCAAGAUGAAUUAAGCUUAUAUGGAAUAGCAAAUGUGUGUUACCCUAAGGACAAUACAGUAACUAUUCUGCUAUUUUCGAUAACAUCUUGAUAAUAUAUGGAUUAAGCUUAUAUGGAUA